RNAcentral lists this ribosomal RNA (484 nucleotides) under uncultured bacterium. RNAcentral's name for it is "partial 16S ribosomal RNA". It matches the Rfam family "Bacterial small subunit ribosomal RNA", at positions 29 to 507 of the family's 1533-position model. The record is from RNAcentral.
AUUGAACGCUGGCGGCAGGCCUAACACAUGCAAGUCGAGCGGAUGAAGGGAGCUUGCUCCUGGAUUCAGCGGCGGACGGGUGAGUAAUGCCUAGGAAUCUGCCUGGUAGUGGGGGAUAACGUCCGGAAACGGGCGCUAAUACCGCAUACGUCCUGAGGGAGAAAGUGGGGGAUCUUCGGACCUCACGCUAUCAGAUGAGCCUAGGUCGGAUUAGCUAGUUGGGGGGGUAAAGGCCUACCAAGGCGACGAUCCGUAACUGGUCUGCGGGGGUGAUCAGUCAACACGGAAAUGGAAAACGGGCCCGACUCCUAAGGGAGGGAACAGGGGGGAAAUUUCGGAAAUGGGGGGAAACCCGACACAACCCAGCCGGGUGGGUGAAGAAGGGCUUCGGGUUGUAAAACCCUUUUAAUUGGGGAGAAAGGGUGGGAAGUUAACUCUUUACGUUUUUAAGGUAACCAAAAAAAAAACCACCGGUAACUUCGUG